Molecule: ribosomal RNA, 380 nt
Filed under: uncultured eukaryote
Lineage: Eukaryota
Description: partial 18S ribosomal RNA
Rfam family: Eukaryotic small subunit ribosomal RNA
Source: RNAcentral
CAAUAGCGUAUAUUAAAGUUGUUGCAGUUAGAACGCUCGUAGUCGGAUUUCGGGGCGGGCCGACCGGUCUGCCGAUGGGUAUGCACUGGUCGGCGCGUCCUUCCUUCCGGAGACCGUCCCUACUCUUAACUGAGCGGGGGCGGGAGACGGGACUUUUACUUUGAAAAAAUCAGAGUGUUUCAAGCAGGCAGCUCGCUCUUGCAUGGAUUAGCAUGGGAUAAUGAAAUAGGACUUUGGUGCUAUUUUGUUGGUUUCGAACACCGAAGUAAUGAUGAGAAGGGACAGUCAGGGGCACUCGUAUUCCGCCGAGAGAGGUGAAAUUCUCAGACCAGUGGAAGACGAACCACUGCGAAAGCAUUUGCCAGGGAUGUUUUCACUGA